CCAAACCCAUGUGAACGUUACCAAACUGUUGCCUCGGCGGGGUCACGCCCCGGGUGCGUAAAAGCCCCGGAACCAGGCGCCCGCCGGAGGAACCAACCAAACUCUUUCUGUAGUCCCCUCGCGGACGUAUUUCUUACAGCUCUGAGCAAAAAUUCAAAAUGAAUCAAAACUUUCAACAACGGAUCUCUUGGUUCUGGCAUCGAUGAAGAACGCAGCGAAAUGCGAUAAGUAAUGUGAAUUGCAGAAUUCAGUGAAUCAUCGAAUCUUUGAACGCACAUUGCGCCCGCCAGUAUUCUGGCGGGCAUGCCUGUCCGAGCGUCAUUUCAACCCUCGAACCCCUCCGGGGGAUCGGCGUUGGGGAUCGGGACCCCUCACCGGGUGCCGGCCCUGAAAUACAGUGGCGGUCUCGCCGCAGCCUCUCCUGCGCAGUAGUUUGCACAACUCGCACCGGGAGCGCGGCGCGUCCACGUCCGUAAAACACCCAACUUCUGAAAUGUUGACCUCGGAUCAGGUAGGAAUACCCGCUGAACUUAAGCAUAUCAAAAGGCGGAGGAAUUCUUUCCCGUUUUCUCUCCAGCCAUGUUUCGUUACAAUUUGUUAUCUCGCGGGGUCAGCAGGGAGCGUUCCCCUGAACAGUCCCGGAAGAACCACCAACCUUUUUUAGGUCCUUCAAAGGAAUUGUUAACUUUAACAGAAUAAAAAGGUGAUUCAACUUUCACCGGGAAUUGCGGGUUAAUCGCCCCAAUACAAAAAAACACAAAAUGCCAUAAGAAAACGCGGAAAUCGCCAAAAAUAAGGGAAAACCCUAAUCUAGGAAAACAAUGGGCGGCAGACUUUUUCUGACGUAACCGCCAUACAACGCUCUUUUCCCCCAAACCACCUGGGAAUACCGGGGGCGGGAAGGGGCCCCCCCCGGGGACGGCCUUAAA
RNAcentral lists this ribosomal RNA (929 nucleotides) under Trichoderma hamatum. Its description in RNAcentral is "eukaryotic LSU rRNA". The stretch from base 168 to 321 matches the Rfam family "5.8S ribosomal RNA". The record is from RNAcentral. Lineage: Eukaryota; Fungi; Ascomycota; Sordariomycetes; Hypocreales; Hypocreaceae.